Molecule: ribosomal RNA, 468 nt
Filed under: uncultured bacterium
Lineage: Bacteria
Description: partial 16S ribosomal RNA
Rfam family: Bacterial small subunit ribosomal RNA
Source: RNAcentral
GACGAACGCUGGCGGCGUGCUUAACACAUGCAAGUCGAACGGAAAGGCCCUGCUUUUGUGGGGCGCUCGAGUGGCGAACGGGUGAGUAACACGUGAGUAACCUGCCCUUGACUUUGGGAUAACUUUAGGGAACAGGGGCUAAUAUCGGAGAGGAGCUCCUGCUGCACGGUGGGGAUUGGAAAGUUUCGGCGGUUGGGGCUGGACUCGCGGCUUAUCCGCUUGUUGGUGGGGUAGUGGCUUACCAAGGCUUUGACGGGUAGCCGGCCUGAGAGGGUGACCGGCCACAUUGGGACUGAGAUACGGCCCAGACUCCUACGGGAGGCAGCAGUGGGGAAUAUUGCACAGUGGGCGGAAGCCUGAUACAGCAACGCCGCGUGCGGGAUGACGGCCUUCGGGUUGUAAACCGCUUUCGCCUGUGACGAAGCCUGAGUGACGGUAAUGGGUAAAGAAGCACCGGCUAACUACGUG